UCAAAUCUCUUUUUCGAAUUUUUGUCAUUUUUGUCUUAAUCUCUAUUCUUGAUCAUCUAGCAUAAAUAAUAUUUUCGAUCAAUUAAACUCAUGAUAAGCUUAUUGGUUCAGCGGUAAGGUACUUUUUUCCCUUUGAUCCUGUAUUUGAGUUUUUGUGAAAGCAAUAAAGAAAUGUUUUGCAUCCUUUUGAAAAUAGAUAAGUUUUAUUUUAAACCAUUUAAUUAAUUCAGUUUUUGUCCACAUUUUUUUUCUUCUUUCCCAAACUUUUGCGGUUCUCUGCUUCUUUACGUUCUUCUUGCUCUUUCUUUUUAUUUCUCUUCUUUUGCUUUUUGAUUCAAAAUUUUAUGCGGAUGUGAGAAUUCCUUGCUCAUUAUCUUGUUUGGUGCUCUAAUUUGGUUGGGCAAGGGUUUGAUUCGCUAGUAUGGUGUGUACAGACCCAAUCUUACCCGGGCAUAGUGCCAAAAAUAUUAACCCAAUCUGGCCCAAAUACAAAGCCCAUCUAACUACCCAAAACAGACUCAGUACCCCAAGACCCAAUUACAAUGAACAGCCCAAUGACCCAAUAACCUAAAGCAAUCAGGAAACCCUAAUCCCCCUAACCCUAUUGCGCCGCACCCCCUGCUUCCUGACUUCCACGCCGCCGCCGUCACCCACCCUCAGCCAUCGCCAUUGUUUCGUCCACCUGCUCCACCAGCUUCUCUGACACCUGCAAAACAGAGCAAACACGCAAAGAGCAGCAAAAAAUAAUAGAAAUAGAUAGGUUAUAAAAGCAAAAACACCAUCUUUGUAUUUUUUAACGACUACUGAAAUAAAAUAAAAAAGCAGAUCUAAAGAAAAGGUUGAUUCCGAUUUUUUUUUCUCUGUUCUUGUUAUUUAUUUUAUUUUAUUUUUUUGUUGUUCAUUUUCUACUUUUUUUUUACAAAUCAAAACGGAAAAGGAAGGGGAAGGAGGUACUUACCGGUUUCGAAAGCCCGUCGCCAGAGAUCUUCUUCGGUGUUGGAAUCGGACCGAGAAAGGGACGAAAGGUCUCUCCUUUUUUCGGCUUGUUGGUCUGGAGGAUCGGGCCUUAAGGUGGAGGUCGAGAAUGGAGUUAAAAACCCCUCUUUUUCUAAAUCUGACCACCGCCCCUGACAGAGCCUCGGCCACGGAACGGCCGCUCGCCGGCGUGGGCCAUGUUUGGCUACUGGGAAUUUUGAGGGAGGGAGAGAAAAGUUUGUUUUUUUUAGUUGAAAUGAAAAUGAAGC
RNAcentral lists this long non-coding RNA (1244 nucleotides) under Gossypium raimondii (Peruvian cotton). Its description in RNAcentral is "long non-coding RNA (GRAI_LNC009641)". The record is from RNAcentral. Lineage: Eukaryota; Viridiplantae; Streptophyta; Magnoliopsida; Malvales; Malvaceae.